CAGCCGCCGCGGUAAUACGUAGGUGGCAAGCGUUGUCCGGAAUUAUUGGGCGUAAAGGGCUCGCAGGCGGUUUCUUAAGUCUGAUGUGAAAGCCCCCGGCUCAACCGGGGAGGGUCAUUGGAAACUGGGAAACUUGAGUGCAGAAGAGGAGAGUGGAAUUCCACGUGUAGCGGUGAAAUGCGUAGAGAUGUGGAAGAACACCAGUGGCGAAGGCGACUCUCUGGUCUGUAACUGGCGCUGAGGAGCGAAAGCGUGGGGAGCGAACAGGAUUAGAUACCCCUGUAGUCCCUGUCUCUUAUAC
Molecule: ribosomal RNA, 301 nt
Filed under: uncultured bacterium
Lineage: Bacteria
Description: partial 16S ribosomal RNA
Rfam family: Bacterial small subunit ribosomal RNA
Source: RNAcentral